RNAcentral lists this ribosomal RNA (476 nucleotides) under uncultured Acholeplasma sp. RNAcentral's name for it is "bacterial SSU rRNA". It matches the Rfam family "Bacterial small subunit ribosomal RNA", at positions 906 to 1382 of the family's 1533-position model. The record is from RNAcentral. Lineage: Bacteria; Bacillati; Mycoplasmatota; Mollicutes; Acholeplasmatales; Acholeplasmataceae.
GGAAUUGACGGGGCCCGCACAAGCGGUGGAGCAUGUGGUUUAAUUCGACGCAACGCGAAGAACCUUACCAGGGCUUGACAUCCCCUGACCGCGUAUGAAAGUACGUUUUCACCCUCGGGUGACAGGGAGACAGGUGGUGCAUGGUUGUCGUCAGCUCGUGUCGUGAGAUGUUGGGUUAAGUCCCGCAACGAGCGCAACCCUUAUUGCUAGUUACCAUCAUUGAGUUGGGGACUCUAGCGAGACUGCCAGUGAUAAACUGGAGGAAGGUGGGGAUGACGUCAAAUCAUCAUGCCCCUUAUGACCUGGGCUACAAACGUGAUACAAUGGCUGAAACAGAGGGAGGCGAAGGAGUGACCUGGAGCGAAACCCAGAAAAACAGUCUCAGUUCGGAUUGAAGUCUGCAACUCGACUUCAUGAAGUCGGAAUCGCUAGUAAUCGCGGAUCAGAACGCCGCGGUGAAUACGUUCUCGGGGUUU